UACAACUUUCAACAACGGAUCUCUUGGUUCUGCAUCGAUGAAGAACGCAGCGAAAUGCGAUACGUAGUGUGAAUUGCAGAAUUCAGUGAAUCAUCGAAUCUUUGAACGCACAUUGCGCCCUUUGGUAUUCCAAAGGGCAUGCCUGUUCGAGCGUCAUU
RNAcentral lists this ribosomal RNA (158 nucleotides) under Stemphylium eturmiunum. Its description in RNAcentral is "5.8S ribosomal RNA". It matches the Rfam family "5.8S ribosomal RNA". Rfam says of the family: 5.8S ribosomal RNA (5.8S rRNA) is a component of the large subunit of the eukaryotic ribosome. It is transcribed by RNA polymerase I as part of the 45S precursor that also contains 18S and 28S rRNA. Lineage: Eukaryota; Fungi; Ascomycota; Dothideomycetes; Pleosporales; Pleosporaceae. The record is from RNAcentral.